GCAGGACUAUACUGAGCAUGUGCAUUACGGGUUCUGCAUCAUCAUAACGGCUGCAGAUGUCAGGUGAUUGACAGGCUGCAGCCGUUUAGCGGGGAGGAAGCAGCAAUAGCCUCCGUUUCCAAAAACAUUCCCAACUGAGAUUUCCUGGUCUCUUGGUAGGAGCUGUGGUGGCCUGCUUGCAUGACCCGCAGCCAGCCGACUGAGUCGCAGGAGGAAAAGCACAGGAUCUUAUGCAGUGCCUGCUGUAAAGAUGGCAGCUAUAUGUAUAGCCACGACUACACAGUGCAGAGGCUGCAUAUAUCCCUUCAUUAAAUGCUUUAUGCCUGACUCAGAUAACGUCUCCAUUAUUGCCAGCACAGUCCUCUGACAAAAGGUAAGAGGUGGACGACACAUGCAAUGUAAUACAGCCCUGCAGAGAUGUGACAAAUCAAUUAUACCGCAUGUGAUGCUAAAUCACAAGAAAGGUGUUUGAGACGUGAGUGUGCAUACAUCAGAGGCAUUAUAUAUAAGCAGGAAUGCAUUCAUAGCUCAUGCUGCCAUAAGCACCAGUGAACAAAUAAAUCAACAAGUACAUGCCCCAAUGGAACACAAUUUCAUGGGCCACUUUG
Long non-coding RNA from Pseudophryne corroboree (corroboree frog), 608 nucleotides. RefSeq lists it as uncharacterized. The transcript is spliced from 3 exons. Lineage: Eukaryota; Metazoa; Chordata; Amphibia; Anura; Myobatrachidae. The record is from RefSeq and is a predicted model, not a curated record.